CAGCACAUUUCCCAGUGAAAUCAAUAUUGAUUCUACUGUAUCUAUGUAUAUGUACAGGGGUAAGGGAACUUACCUCCAGUAAGAAAGUGAAAGAGGAGGAGUGGUCGGCAGCAGCCAGAGGAAAGACAAGGAUAGAGGUCGGACGGUUGUUGCCCAGAGUCAUUGGAACAGGAGGCGGGGGUUGCAAUGUCUGACAGCCUGAUCAGGAAGCCAUGAUGGGAAACAAACAAACAGAUAAAGGGCUGCCAUUUUUUGUUUGUAUGAGACAUGCGUUUGUCCCAUUUCCAGGCGGCCUGAUUAUGGCUCACCUCUUCAAGGACAGGGGGCUGAUCUGAGUCCUGAACUGUGGGGAAGAUGUGCUGAAGAUCAUU
Molecule: long non-coding RNA, 371 nt
Organism: Callorhinchus milii (elephant shark)
Lineage: Eukaryota; Metazoa; Chordata; Chondrichthyes; Chimaeriformes; Callorhinchidae
Exons: 3
Source: RefSeq, a predicted model, not a curated record